This 69-nucleotide transfer RNA is filed under the name Listeria monocytogenes. Its description in RNAcentral is "tRNA-Arg". It matches the Rfam family "tRNA". From Rfam's summary of the family: Transfer RNA (tRNA) molecules are approximately 80 nucleotides in length. Their secondary structure includes four short double-helical elements and three loops (D, anti-codon, and T loops). Further hydrogen bonds mediate the characteristic L-shaped molecular structure. tRNAs have two regions of fundamental functional importance: the anti-codon, which is responsible for specific mRNA codon recognition, and the 3' end, to which the tRNAs corresponding amino acid is attached (by aminoacyl-tRNA synthetases). tRNAs cope with the degeneracy of the genetic code in two manners: having more than one tRNA (with a specific anti-codon) for a particular amino acid; and 'wobble' base-pairing, i.e. permitting non-standard base-pairing at the 3rd anti-codon position. The record is from RNAcentral. Lineage: Bacteria; Bacillati; Bacillota; Bacilli; Caryophanales; Listeriaceae.
CAUAGCUCAACUGGAUAGAGUACUUGACUACGAAUCAAGCGGUUAGAGGUUCGACUCCUCUUGGGCGCA